Molecule: ribosomal RNA, 1205 nt
Filed under: bacterium
Lineage: Bacteria
Description: bacterial SSU rRNA
Rfam family: Bacterial small subunit ribosomal RNA
Source: RNAcentral
UACCAUGCAGUCGAACGGUGAACACGGAGCUUGCUCUGUGGGAUCAGUGGCGAACGGGUGAGUAACACGUGAGCAACCUGCCCCUGACUCUGGGAUAAGCGCUGGAAACGGCGUCUAAUACUGGAUAUGUGACGUGACCGCAUGGUCUGCGUUUGGAAAGAUUUUUCGGUUGGGGAUGGGCUCGCGGCCUAUCAGCUUGUUGGUGAGGUAAUGGCUCACCAAGGCGUCGACGGGUAGCCGGCCUGAGAGGGUGACCGGCCACACUGGGACUGAGACACGGCCCAGACUCCUACGGGAGGCAGCAGUGGGGAAUAUUGCACAAUGGGCGAAAGCCUGAUGCAGCAACGCCGCGUGAGGGAUGACGGCCUUCGGGUUGUAAACCUCUUUUAGCAGGGAAGAAGCGAAAGUGACGGUACCUGCAGAAAAAGCGCCGGCUAACUACGUGCCAGCAGCCGCGGUAAUACGUAGGGCGCAAGCGUUAUCCGGAAUUAUUGGGCGUAAAGAGCUCGUAGGCGGUUUGUCGCGUCUGCUGUGAAAUCCCGAGGCUCAACCUCGGGCCUGCAGUGGGUACGGGCAGACUAGAGUGCGGUAGGGGAGAUUGGAAUUCCUGGUGUAGCGGUGGAAUGCGCAGAUAUCAGGAGGAACACCGAUGGCGAAGGCAGAUCUCUGGGCCGUAACUGACGCUGAGGAGCGAAAGGGUGGGGAGCAAACAGGCUUAGAUACCCUGGUAGUCCACCCCGUAAACGUUGGGAACUAGUUGUGGGGUCCAUUCCACGGAUUCCGUGACGCAGCUAACGCAUUAAGUUCCCCGCCUGGGGAGUACGGCCGCAAGGCUAAAACUCAAAGGAAUUGACGGGGACCCGCACAAGCGGCGGAGCAUGCGGAUUAAUUCGAUGCAACGCGAAGAACCUUACCAAGGCUUGACAUAUACGAGAACGGGCCAGAAAUGGUCAACUCUUUGGACACUCGUAAACAGGUGGUGCAUGGUUGUCGUCAGCUCGUGUCGUGAGAUGUUGGGUUAAGUCCCGCAACGAGCGCAACCCUCGUUCUAUGUUGCCAGCACGUAAUGGUGGGAACUCAUGGGAUACUGCCGGGGUCAACUCGGAGGAAGGUGGGGAUGACGUCAAUCAUCAUGCCCCUUAUGUCUUGGGCUUCACGCAUGCUACAAUGGCCGGUACAAAGGGCUGCAAUACCGUGGAGGUGGA